UGCCAUCCAGCAAGAUGUGGUUUCAUGUGGUGUGUUUGCGCUUAAAUUUGCAGAGUGCAUACUGGAAAACAAGGACCUGAACUUUCCAUCAACAGCAGAAGCUGUUAAUACCAUGCGACUCAACAUUUCUUCCACACUUCUCUCAGAAUCAGACUCAGUGGAGAAUCUCUGCAGACACUGUGGCAGUGAGGACACAGAAGAUCAUAUGUGGAUCGCAUGUGACAGAUGCAACUGGUGGUACCACCAAGGCUGCGUUAAGGUCCCACAAACCGACACAGGCUACUGCUGUGCAAUGUGCUUAUAGAUUUUAUGUUUGUACCAAUCUAAUUCUUUAAUGACUGCAGUUUAGUGGAUUUUCAGUUUAAACAUGUGAC
This is a long non-coding RNA of Xiphophorus couchianus (Monterrey platyfish), 374 nucleotides long. RefSeq lists it as uncharacterized. NCBI's taxonomy places the organism in Eukaryota, Metazoa, Chordata, Actinopteri, Cyprinodontiformes, Poeciliidae. The record is from RefSeq and is a predicted model, not a curated record. The transcript is spliced from 4 exons.